AACGAACGCUGGCGGCAGGCUUAACACAUGCAAGUCGAGCGCCCCGCAAGUGCAUCGGCAGACUGGUGAGUAACGCGUGGGAACGUACCUUUUGGUUCGGAACAACUCCGGGAUACUGGAGCUAAUACCGGAUAAGCCCUAACGGGGAAAGAUUUAUCGCCGAAAGAUCGGCCCGCGUCUGAUUAGCUAGUUGGUGAGGUAACGGCUCACCAAGGCGACGAUCAGUAGCUGGUCUGAGAAGAUGAUCAGCCACACUGGGAAUGAGACACGGACCAGACUGCUACGGGAGGGAGCAGUGGGGAAUAUUGGACAAUGGGCGCAAGCCUGAUCCAGCCAUGCCGCGUAAGUGAUGAAGGGCUUAGGGUUGUAAAGCUGUUUUGUACGGGAAGAGAAUGACUGUACCGGAAGAAUAAGCACCGGCUAACUUCGUG
This 431-nucleotide ribosomal RNA is filed under the name uncultured bacterium. Its description in RNAcentral is "partial 16S ribosomal RNA". It matches the Rfam family "Bacterial small subunit ribosomal RNA", at positions 29 to 507 of the family's 1533-position model. The record is from RNAcentral.